CGCCGUCUUCGCGACGAAGGAGGCUGCCCAUUGCGUCCCACCCCACCAGAAAGCCAAACACUGGCCUACAUCGGAAUCUUAAAGCGAAAUGAAAAAAUAUAUUUUUUGGUUGAAUCCCUGAAGGAGGUAGAAGACUACUGCAGUUGUCCCAGUAGGAAAGCCAGGUGGCUCAGGCUGACGUGAUGUUGGUGGACGUGGUGAUGAGCGGUAGGUAUGAGAAUGUAGGAAUUGUAAGGCUAGAGCUCGGUUGAUGUUGUUCCUAUAAACAUGGCAGCAGGGGCGCCAUGAGGUGGGUAAGGCGAGGGAAAGAGAUGUUGCCUCUGAGGCUUUGGCCUGAGGGACUAGGUGGACGGUGGUGCCGCUGACUGAGAUGGACGAGAUUUUAGGGGGAGCAAGUCUCUAACCUGCUUUGGAGACAUGCUUCCACAUGCCUGGUUUCAGAACGUGAUACAUAUUCAGGUCUUAUUCAUUCAUCUUCUUCUGAGGUUCCUCCCAUCAAAGUGAAAAGCUG
Molecule: long non-coding RNA, 511 nt
Filed under: Felis catus (domestic cat)
Lineage: Eukaryota; Metazoa; Chordata; Mammalia; Carnivora; Felidae
Description: lncRNA (ENSFCAG00000048075.1)
Source: RNAcentral